Molecule: ribosomal RNA, 756 nt
Filed under: uncultured bacterium
Lineage: Bacteria
Description: bacterial SSU rRNA
Rfam family: Bacterial small subunit ribosomal RNA
Source: RNAcentral
AGAGUUUGAUCCUGGCUCAGAAUCAACGCUGGCGGCGCGCUUAACACAUGCAAGUCGCACGAGAAAGUGGAGCAAUCCAUGAGUAAAGUGGCGUACGGGUGAGUAACACGUGGAUCAUCUACCUUUUAGUGGGGAAUACCCCCGGGAAACUGGGGAUAAUACCGCAUAAGCCUGUAAAGGGAAAGCAGCAAUGCGCUGAAAGAGGAGUCCGCGGCUGAUUAGCUAGUUGGUGAGGUAAUGGCUCACCAAGGCGAAGAUCGGUAGCCGGCCUGAGAGGGCACACGGCCACACUGGCACUGAAACACGGGCCAGACUCCUACGGGAGGCAGCAGUGGGGAAUCUUGCACAAUGGAGGAAACUCUGAUGCAGCGACGCCGCGUGAGCGAUGAAGCCCUUCGGGGUGUAAAGCUCUUUCGACGGGAACGAUAAUGACGGUACCCGAAGAAGAAGCUGCGGCUAACUACGUGCCAGCAGCCGCGGUAAUACGUAGGCAGCAAGCGUUGUUCGGAAUUACUGGGCGUAAAGAGUGUGUAGGCGGUGUUCUAAGUUUGUCGUGAAAUCUCCCGGCUUAACUGGGAGGGUGCGGCGAAAACUGGAAUGCUAGAGGAUGGGAGAGGUAAGCGGAAUUCCUGGUGUAGCGGUGAAAUGCGUAGAUAUCAGGAGGAACACCUGUGGUGUAGACAGCUUACUGGACCAUUUCUGACGCUGAGACACGAAAGCGUGGGUAGCAAACAGGAUUAGAUACCCCAGUAGUCC